GAGGGUAUAGCUCAGUGGUAAAGUGCAUGCUUAGCAUGCACAAGGUCCUGGGUUCAAUCCCCAGUACCGCCA
Molecule: transfer RNA, 72 nt
Filed under: Camelus bactrianus (Bactrian camel)
Lineage: Eukaryota; Metazoa; Chordata; Mammalia; Artiodactyla; Camelidae
Also listed under: 2 other names
Rfam family: tRNA
About the family: Transfer RNA (tRNA) molecules are approximately 80 nucleotides in length. Their secondary structure includes four short double-helical elements and three loops (D, anti-codon, and T loops). Further hydrogen bonds mediate the characteristic L-shaped molecular structure. tRNAs have two regions of fundamental functional importance: the anti-codon, which is responsible for specific mRNA codon recognition, and the 3' end, to which the tRNAs corresponding amino acid is attached (by aminoacyl-tRNA synthetases). tRNAs cope with the degeneracy of the genetic code in two manners: having more than one tRNA (with a specific anti-codon) for a particular amino acid; and 'wobble' base-pairing, i.e. permitting non-standard base-pairing at the 3rd anti-codon position.
Source: Rfam by way of RNAcentral